This 249-nucleotide ribosomal RNA is filed under the name uncultured eukaryote. RNAcentral describes it as "partial 18S ribosomal RNA". It matches the Rfam family "Eukaryotic small subunit ribosomal RNA", at positions 1299 to 1458 of the family's 1831-position model. The record is from RNAcentral.
UGGUGGAGUGAUUUGUCUGGUUAAUUCCGUUAACGAACGAGACCUUAACCUGCUAAAUAUGCCGCGCUAACCCGUCCAUCAAAACCUAUGUGUGACUCACGCGGUUCGCUGCACACUAAUGUUGCCCGUUAAAACGGUGAUGUUAGGGUGCCGGCAGGGCCCGGGUUCAUAUAGGCGGUAGGGUUCGGCGUCUGUGCUUCUUAGAGGGACUGCUGCGCGCCUAGCCAGCGGAAGUUUGAGGCAAUAACA